Fragaria vesca subsp. vesca is the source of this 8269-nucleotide RNA transcript. RefSeq lists it as uncharacterized. The record is from RefSeq and is a predicted model, not a curated record. NCBI's taxonomy places the organism in Eukaryota, Viridiplantae, Streptophyta, Magnoliopsida, Rosales, Rosaceae. The transcript is spliced from 40 exons.
AUGUUGGGUCAUCUAAACUUCGGUUAUCUUAAGAAGCUGCAACCGCAAUUAUUUUCGGCUGUCGACUAUUCAGAUUUUCAUUGCGACAUAUGUGAACUGACCAAGAGCCACCGUAUUUCAUAUUCACCAAGCCUAAAUAAAAGUCAUGUUCUAUUUAUGAAGAUUCACUCUGACGUGUGGGGUCCUGCAAAAAUUCCUUCUCUCUUUGGCGCUUGGUAUUUUGUGACAUUUAUUGAUGAUUGUACCCGUACGACUUGGGUGUCUCUAUUGAAGAACAAGAGCGAUGUUUAUUCUAGAUUCAAAGAAUUUCACAAGAUGGUGUCCACACAGUAUCAACAGGUGGUUCGAGUUUUCCAGUCUGACAAUGGUGGAGAAUAUAUUAAUGGUCCUAUGCAAGCGUUUAUGCAGUUACAUGGAAUUUGACAUCAGACUUCAAAUACUUAUACUCCUCAGCAAAAUGGAUUGGUAGAGAGGAAAAAUCGACAGUUGCUUAAAGUUGUCCGUGCGUUUUUGUUCGGCAUGAAUGUACCUGUAGAAUAUUGGGGAGAAGCUGUGACAUAUGUUGCCUACCUCAUUAAUCAUACCCCUUCUCGGAGUGUUACCAAGGGUAUUCCAAAGAAACAAUAUGAACCAGACAUCAAAGCCAAAGCUAAAUAUCUUAUAGCUAAUUACAUGUCUAACCAUAGGUUGGCUGGGUCACAUGCACUUGUUAUUAAUCAAUUAUCCAUUGUUUUUAUUCCUUGUACUGUACAGGAUGCAAUGACGGAUCCCAAGUGAACUCAAGUGAUGAAUGAAGAACUAGAGGCAUUACAGAAAAACUCGACUUGGGAUAUUGGGAAGAAGACCGUUGGAUGCCGUUGAGUAUUCACAGUAAAGUUGAAAGCAGAUGGGAGCAUUGAUAGGUAUAAAGCACGGUUGGUUGCCAAGGGAUACACCCAGCGAUAUGGCGUUGAUUAUGAAGAAACCGUUUGCACCUGUAGCAAAGAUCAACACUGUUCGAAUCUUGAUUUCACUUGCAGCAACUAAAGAUUGGCCUAUACGACAGUUUGAUGUGAAGAAUGCUUUCCUCAAUGGAAACUUUGAAGAAGAGGUGUAUAUGGACAUGCCCCUAGGAGUCAAAUGUAGACCUUGCAAUGUCGGAAAGGUUUGUAAGUUAAAGAAGUCUCUGUAUGGUUUGAAGCAGUCUCCUAGAGCUUGGUUUGGAAGAUUCUCCAAAUCAAUGAAGACAUUUGGUUAUAAACAAAGCAACUCGGAUCACACUCUAUUCAUCAAGCGUAAUCAGGGUAAGAUCACCGCUCUGAUUGUGUAUGUUGAUAAUAUGAUUGUUAUAGAAGAUGAAAUAAAGGAGAUGGAGGCUUUACAAAUCUUUCAAAGGAGUUUGAGAUGAAGGACUUUGGGCAGAUGAAAUAUUUUCUCGGAAUUGAAGUUGCAAGGUCGAAGAAUGGGAUUUCUUUAUCCUAGCGCAAGUAUGUACUUGACUUGUUAGCUGAAACCGGAAUGCUUGAUUGCAAGCCUGUUGAGACACCAAUUGAGAUGAAUCAGAACCUUGCCAUCUAUCCAAAUCAAGUUUCAACUGAUAAAGUAAGGUACCAACGUCUAGUAGGGAGACUUAUUUAUUUUUCUCAUACUAGACCUGAUAUUGCUUAUGUUGUAGGUGUGGUUAGUCAAUUUAUGCAUUAUCCUAGCGAAGAGCAUAUGGAUGCAGUGUAUCGUAUUCUGAAGUAUCUUAAGAUGACACUUGGAAAAAGCUUGUUGUUUGAAAAGAAGGAUGAAUUGGAAGUUGUAGGGUACACAGAUGCUGAUUCGGCUGGUGAUAAGACUGACAGACGGUCUACAUCUGGGUAUUUUACAUAUGUUGGAGGAAACCUCGUUGCAAGAUCAGGUGCUAAAACAGAGUUUCGAGAUAUGGCACAUAGAGUUUGUGAGAUGCUAUGGAUUCGUAAUGUAUUGAAAUAAUUGGUUUUCAAACUCAACAAACCCAUGGACUUGCAUUGUGAUAGCACGUCUGCAAUUGAAAUCAUGUUCAACAUGAUUAGACCAAGCAUGUGGAGGUAGAUCGGCAUUUUAUCAAAGAAAACUUGGACAGGAAAAUAAUCUGUUUCCCUUCAUAUAUAGAACUCACCAAAUGCAGUGAUUAUGAUAAGUAUAACAAGCUUGUACGGGAAGGACAAACCCCAUUGUAUCUUGGCAGUGAGCAUACUUUGUUGGGUACCGUCAUGGAGCAAAUGCAGAUAAAAAACAAGUGGGGAAAGACUAACAUAUGUUUUGACGAGGAUAUAGCAGUUACGAAGAAAGUGCUUCCCAAAGGUAAUAGUUGUCCGGAAAAUUUCGACCAGGUUAAAAGGAUGUUGGCUGACCUCGGUCUUGAUCAUCAGAAGAUAGACGCUUGCGUCAAUAACUGCAUCUUGUAUUAUAAAGAUAACAAAGAUGAAGUUGAGUGCCCACACUGCUACGAGCCAAGACACAACUUGGACGUCAUGCACAUAGAGAAGAAUGUUUGUGAUAGCAUUCUUGGAACAAUUCUGAAUCUCAAAGAUAAGAACAAGGACACCCUCAAAGCCCGUGUUGAUCUUAUGAAAAUGGUCGUGUUAUUCAAGGGCAAAUGGUUCAAUACUGACCCAACCAGACGGAGGAGUACAAUUAUGGAUCGUGGUUUGUUAUCAGUGGACUCAAACAGUGUAUGGUAUGAGACUGAGCCGUUUAUUCUUGCCACCAUGGCGAAACAAGUGUUUUAUCUUGAUGAUCCGGCUAUGGGUGAGGGUUGGAAAGUGGUGCAGGUGAUGUCACAUAGAAAUAUUUGGUGUGCAGCUACACUGGGAGGGGAUGAUGAGAGUGGGCCCAGUGAACCAAUAACAACUGAUCAACCGAAUGAACCAUAUCAAGAGGAAUCUCCACAUGUAGUCCCUGAUACUGAGGAUAUUCGUGUCAACAACCAACACGUUGUGACUAUCAUAGGUUACAUUCCAGUUACACCAUCUGAACUGAACUCGCUACAACGUCGCAACCCCAAUCAUGAUCACGACGGCUUCAUAUAUGACGAAUACAUAGGGGAUGAUGAGUAUUCUGACCAAACUGAGGAGGAUGAUGAUUCAGACGACUCAGAUUAUCAUGACUCCGGCCCCGAAAAAGAAGCGGGGUUUUUGUUCUGGAAAGAAAGCGGAGGAUAUCGUUCAAUAAACGGGGCAGAAGAUCAAGCUGGAAGUCUGGUGGGAAUGAGGGCAAAGACAUUCUACGACCUUGAUCAGACCGAGAAGUGGAAAGUGUGGAAUGCAAUGUCGUCGAAAUACGAGUGGAAUGAAAAUGAUGAGCCAAUGUUCAAUUGGAUACUAAAGAGGGCACAGGAGAGGUACAAGGACUGGAAGUACCAGUGUUACCAAGCUUAUCUGAAGGAAGGGCCCUCUGGCAUGCCUUCAAAAUUCAUUGGGAGAGAGGACCAGUGGGAGUUUCUAUGCCAGCACUUCGAGUCAGAUGCAUUCAAGAGACUCUCCUUGGCAAACAAACGGAACCGUGGGGAGAAGACUAUGCACCACCACACGGGGUCUUCUCCUAUCAUCUACACAAUAGAGGAACUCAUAAUACAAGGCAAGCAGCUUCCAAAAAUCAAAGGUUUUGAGAAAACCUAUGUCAGGGAGGGUGAUGAAGUUACAACCAAGCAUUAUGAGCGCUAUGAGCAGAGACUAAAAGAAUCAGAGGAGCGUGCCCAGCAGCAGUUCCAAGAGGUCCAGCAACGUGCCCAACAGCAAUUUCAAGAGGUCCAACAUCGUGCCCUGCGUGCCGAGUCGAUGUAUAGUGCUAUGCAGUCCCAAGUUGCAGCCAUAUAUGAGCACGUAGGUAUGCCACCUCCACCUCCUCCACACAGCGCCAGCACCAAAAACGGCGUCAAUCUAACGUCGUCCUCGUCCGCCGUCACGACAUCGUCGGGCGGCGGCGGCGGGGCAACUACGUCGUCUUCAUCGACCCAGUCCCUCAUAAAGGCGUAUUUCAAGACCCCGGAGGGCCGGUACAAGCUCCACUCUGAGAAGACCCGGCCGGCGAAUCUCCUCCCCUAUUCCUACGCCAAGACAAUCUCCCAGGUGACGCUGGCCCAGCUCAAGGACAGGCCCAACUCCGCGGCGGUGGGGCCCGUUCCCGGAAACAUCGCCAGCGGCAGUGUGCGCCACGCGGCGGCGAGGCUGCUUGCUGGGAAUGGGAGCAAGGCGUUGAGUUAUCUGAGCGGUGGGAGUAGUAGUAGAGCGAGUAAUGGGAGUAGUAGGAGUUCUCAUUUUGGAGGACUUGGGUCUAAUGGGUAUGGGGCCCACUCGUCGCCGAGUUCCAGCCACGGCGGUAAAGGAUCGUUUUUGGUGUUCAAUGUUGGAGAUAGUAUCUACAUCUGUGAUCUCAAUUCGCCUGAUAAGGAUCCUAUUAAAAUGUUGCAUUUUAGCAAUUCAAAUCCGGUGUGUCACGCGUUUGAUUCGGAAGCCAAGGAUGGGCAUGACUUGCUUAUUGGAUUGAGCUCUGGAGAUAUUUAUUCGGCGUCUUUGAGACAGCAAUUGCAAGAUUCUGGGAAGAAGCUUGUUGGUGCCCUGCAUUAUAACAAAGAGGGUUCUGUGAAUACCAGUCGCUGUACCAGUAUUGCAUGGGUACCUAAAGGCAAUGGUACUUUUAUUGCUGCUCAUGCUGAUGGAAACUUAUACGAGUAUGAGAAGGGCAAGGAUAGUACCGCUGAUACUUCUUUCCCAGUUAUAAAGGAUCCUACUCAGUUUUCAGUGUAUCAUGCAAGAUCCAGUAAGAGUAAUCCAAUUUCCAGAUGGCAUAUUUGUGAAGGUUCAAUAAACAGCAUUGUUUACUCUCCAGAUGGGACGUAUUUGGCGACAGUUGGUAGAGACGGGUACUUACGAGUAUUUGACUACUCAAAAGAACAACUGAUAGGUGGUGGCAAGAGUUAUUAUGGUUCUCUUCUGUGUUGUGCUUGGAGUCCGGAUGGAAAAUAUGUUUUAACCGGAGGGGAAGAUGAUCUUGUUACAGUAUGGAGUAUGGAAGAUAGGAAGGUGGUAGCUUGGGGUGAAGGACAUAACUCAUGGGUUAGUGGUGUGGCUUUUGACUUGCAUUGGUCAUCACCAACUUCAGAUGGCACAGAAGAAAAUCUUGUUUAUCGUUUUGGCUCUGUUGGUCAGGACACGAAGUUGCUUCUCUGGGACCUCUCCAUGGAUGAGAUCGUAGUGCCGCUUCGCCGGUGUUCAGUUGGUGGGUCGCCAACAUUCAGCACUGGUAGCCAGUCAUCCCAUUGGGACAGCAGUUACCCGGUUGGCACUCUCCAACCUGCUCCAAGCAUGCGGGAUGUUCCCAAGCUCUCCCCACUAGUGGCUCACUGUGUUCAUACCGAGCCCUUGUCUAGCUUAGCUUUUACCCAGGAAGCUAUUCUUACUGCAUCUUGGGAAGGGCAUGUAAAAAUUUGGAUGAGACCAGGCGAACCCGAAAGUAAAUCCAACAACUCAGAAGCUCUGCCAGGUGCUAGUUCUAGGGAGCAACUAGCACCGACAGGAAAAGGUUACUCAGAAUCAUUGAGGGGUUACCCCUUGCCUGAAAGUAAGUCAAACAACUCACAAGCUCUUCUAGGUGCUUCUUCAAAGGAGCAACAGCCAUCGACAGCAUAUUCCUGUGUUGAGGCCAUGGCUGUGGCAAUGAGAGGAGUUGAGUUUAAGCUAGUGGUGCUUUUGGUGGUGGGAGUCUUGGCAACGGCGUCGUAUUGCACGACGGUUAGUUACGACCACAGGGCGCUUGUGAUCGAUGGAAAGCGCAGAGUGUUAGUCUCUGGCUCGAUUCACUACCCUCGUAGCACUCCAGAGAUGUGGCCGGACCUUAUUCAGAAAUCCAAGGACGGAGGGUUGGAUGUGAUCGAGACCUAUGUGUUUUGGAACUUACAUGAGCCAGUUCGAGGCCAGUACAACUUUGAGGGAAGGAACGAUUUGGUUGGAUUUGUGAAGGCAGUGGCAGAAGCAGGGCUCUAUGUGCAUCUUCGAAUUGGGCCUUAUGUGUGCGCAGAAUGGAAUUACGGUGGCUUUCCUCUGUGGCUGCACUUCAUACCCGGAAUAAAGUUGCGGACUGAUAAUGAGCCCUACAAGGCAGAAAUGCAGCGGUUCACGGCCAAAAUCGUUGAAAUGAUGAAGAAUGAGAAGCUUUAUGCAUCUCAGGGAGGACCUAUCAUUCUAUCUCAGAUCGAAAACGAGUAUGGAAACAUUGAUAAAGCAUAUGGGCCUGCUGCCAAAACCUACAUUAAUUGGGCAGCAAACAUGGCUGUGUCUUUGGAUACAGGGGUGCCCUGGGUCAUGUGCCAGCAAGCAGAUGCUCCUUCUUCAGUGAUCAACACUUGCAAUGGAUUUUACUGCGAUCAAUUUUCCCCUAAUUCUAACAGUACACCCAAAAUUUGGACUGAGAAUUGGAGUGGAUGGUUUCUUUCCUUUGGUGGUGCUGUACCUCAGAGACUGGUGGAAGACCUUGCAUUUGCUGUAGCACGCUUCUACCAGCGAGGUGGAACUUUCCAAAAUUAUUAUAUGUACCAUGGUGGAACCAACUUUGGGCGGUCUAGUGGAGGACCUUUUAUUGCUACAAGUUAUGACUAUGAUGCUCCACUUGAUGAGUAUGGACUUCUUAGGCAGCCGAAAUGGGGUCAUCUAAAAGAUGUGCAUAAGGCUAUAAAGCUUUGUGAACCUGCAAUGGUGGCCACUGAUCCAACAAUUUCUUCUCUCGGUCAAAACAUUGAGGCAGCUGUUUACAAGACAGGAUCAGUAUGUUCUGCAUUUCUUGCCAAUGUCGACACCAAAUCUGAUGCCACUGUGACUUUCAAUGGCAAUUCAUAUCAAUUGCCUGCAUGGUCUGUGAGCAUCUUACCUGACUGCAAAAAUGUAGUGAUUAACACUGCAAAGAUUAACACUGCCACUAUGGUUCCAAGCUUCACACGUCAAUCAAUUUCAGCUGAUGUUGAGCCCACUGAAGCUGUCGGCUCAGGCUGGAGUUGGAUAAAUGAACCAGUGGGUAUCUCAAAGGGUGAUGCAUUUACCAGAGUGGGAUUAUUGGAGCAGAUAAACACUACAGCUGAUAAAAGUGACUAUUUGUGGUACUCUACCAGCAUUGAUGUGAAAGGUGGAUAUAAAGCUGAUCUUCAUGUGCAAUCGCUUGGUCAUGCUCUUCAUGCUUUUGUCAAUGGAAAGCUUGCAGGGAGUGAAACAGGCAACAGUGGCAAUGCCAAGGUUUCUGUGGAGAUCCCUGUCGAAUUUGCAUCUGGCAAGAACACAAUUGAUCUUUUGAGUCUGACCGUUGGGCUUCAGAAUUAUGGAGCUUUCUUUGACUUAGUGGGUGCUGGGAUCACCGGUCCUGUACAACUGAAAGGCUCAGCAAAUGGCACCACUAUUGAUCUCUCUUCUCAGCAAUGGACAUAUCAGAUUGGACUUAAAGGUGAAGACGAAGAUCUUCCGAGUGGGAGUUCUCAAUGGAUCUCACAACCUACCUUGCCCAAGAAUCAGCCCUUGACGUGGUACAAGACCCAAUUUGAUGCCCCUGGUGGCAGUAACCCUGUUGCACUAGACUUCACAGGAAUGGGGAAGGGUGAGGCAUGGGUGAAUGGACAAAGCAUUGGACGUUACUGGCCCACUAAUGUUGCUCCGAAAACUGGUUGCACUGAUUGCAACUACAGAGGAGCUUAUAGUGCAGACAAAUGCCGAAAGAACUGUGGCAUGCCAUCUCAGAAAUUAUACCACGUUCCUCGUUCAUGGAUGAAAUCCAGUGGCAAUACUCUUGUAUUAUUUGAGGAAGUUGGGGGUGAUCCGACACAGUUAUCUUUUGCCACAAGACAGGUAGAAAGUUUGUGCUCUCAUGUAUCAGAGUCUCACCCAUCACCUGUAGAUAUGUGGAGCUCAGAUUCCAAAGCAGGAAGCAAGUCACGGCCUAGGCUAUCACUUGAGUGCCCAUUUCCUAAUCAAGUCAUUUCUUCAAUCAAGUUUGCAAGUUACGGAAGGCCUAGUGGGACUUGCGGGAGCUUUAGCCAUGGCUUGUGUAGGAGCAGUAGGGCUCUAUCCAUUGUACAGAAGGCAUGCGUUGGAUCAAAGAGUUGUAGCAUCGAAGUCUCAACUAAUACAUUUGGUGACCCAUGUAAAGGACUAGCAAAGAGUUUAGCAGUAGAAGCUUCUUGUAAAUAGACAGUGGGAGAUAAGGAAGACGUUAUCCCCAAGUAUGUCUAGCUCUCAUUGAAUAAACUUAUUCUCAUGAAUGAAAUUAAUAUCAAUAAUAUUCUCAA